RNAcentral lists this ribosomal RNA (572 nucleotides) under Saccharomyces cerevisiae (brewer's yeast). RNAcentral's name for it is "partial large subunit ribosomal RNA". It matches the Rfam family "Eukaryotic large subunit ribosomal RNA", at positions 62 to 648 of the family's 3401-position model. Lineage: Eukaryota; Fungi; Ascomycota; Saccharomycetes; Saccharomycetales; Saccharomycetaceae. The record is from RNAcentral.
AAACCAACCGGGAUUGCCUUAGUAACGGCGAGUGAAGCGGCAAAAGCUCAAAUUUGAAAUCUGGUACCUUCGGUGCCCGAGUUGUAAUUUGGAGAGGGCAACUUUGGGGCCGUUCCUUGUCUAUGUUCCUUGGAACAGGACGUCAUAGAGGGUGAGAAUCCCGUGUGGCGAGGAGUGCGGUUCUUUGUAAAGUGCCUUCGAAGAGUCGAGUUGUUUGGGAAUGCAGCUCUAAGUGGGUGGUAAAUUCCAUCUAAAGCUAAAUAUUGGCGAGAGACCGAUAGCGAACAAGUACAGUGAUGGAAAGAUGAAAAGAACUUUGAAAAGAGAGUGAAAAAGUACGUGAAAUUGUUGAAAGGGAAGGGCAUUUGAUCAGACAUGGUGUUUUGUGCCCUCUGCUCCUUGUGGGUAGGGGAAUCUCGCAUUUCACUGGGCCAGCAUCAGUUUUGGUGGCAGGAUAAAUCCAUAGGAAUGUAACUUGCCUCGGUAAGUAUUAUAGCCUGUGGGAAUACUGCCAGCUGGGACUGAGGACUGCGACGUAAGUCAAGGAUGCUGGCAUAAUGGUUAUAUGCCGC